GAUGAACGCUGGCGGCGUGCCUAAUACAUGCAAGUCGAACGAACAGACGAGGAGCUUGCUCCUCUGACGUUAGCGGCGGACGGGUGAGUAACACGUGGAUAACCUACCUAUAAGACUGGUAUAACUUCGAGAAACCGGAUCUAAUACCGGAUAAUAUCUUGAACCGCAUGGUUCAAUAGUGAAAGACGGUUGUGCUGGCUCUUAUAGAUGGAUCCGGGCCGCAUUAGAUAGUUGGUAAGGUAACGGCCUACCAAGGGAAGGAUGCGUAGCCGAACUGAUAGAGGGAUAGGCGACACGAGAGCUUGAACAGGGACCAUGCUCCUACGGGAGGCAGCAGUAUGGAACCUUACGCAAAAGGCGAGAACCUGGCGGAGCAGGGCGGAGUGAGUGGUGAAGGUCUUCCGAUCGGGAUACUCUGUUAUUAGGGAUGAACAAAUGUGUAAGUAGCUGUACACGUCUUGACGGUACCUAAUCAGAAAGCAACGGCUAACUACGUG
RNAcentral lists this ribosomal RNA (497 nucleotides) under uncultured bacterium. RNAcentral describes it as "partial 16S ribosomal RNA". It matches the Rfam family "Bacterial small subunit ribosomal RNA", at positions 28 to 507 of the family's 1533-position model. The record is from RNAcentral.